GACCUUCUUCCCAGAGAACCUGAGCCCUCAACAUCGGGUGUGUCUCGUUCUGCUGAACCCUGCCCUGCAGAAAUAUCAUUUGAAGAUGACGGAGAGUGGCCAGGUGGCGAUAUAGGUACGAAUGAGGCCGAUACAGUACCAAACUCGCCGUACAGCUCCCCUAGUCGAUUGUCGACUAGUCUUAAU
Long non-coding RNA from Aricia agestis (brown argus), 186 nucleotides. RefSeq lists it as uncharacterized. The transcript is spliced from 3 exons. The record is from RefSeq and is a predicted model, not a curated record. Lineage: Eukaryota; Metazoa; Arthropoda; Insecta; Lepidoptera; Lycaenidae.